RNAcentral lists this long non-coding RNA (638 nucleotides) under Sus scrofa (pig). Its description in RNAcentral is "lncRNA (ENSSSCG00070010752.1)". The record is from RNAcentral. Lineage: Eukaryota; Metazoa; Chordata; Mammalia; Artiodactyla; Suidae.
ACCCUAACCCUAACCCUAACCCUAACCCUUGGGCAGUAAGGCCCAAGCGGGUCUAAAGGACACAAAUAACUUACAUAAACAAGUCACCAAAAGUCAACUAGUUCUGUUUCACCCAGGCUUUGCCUCAAUGCACAUCUAUAGAUAAUACACAUCCAUGCCUAUCUUUUUAGGUUCCCCAAAAAAACCAACAAAGGAGAAACUGCCUAAUCCUCAUUUACAAAUGGGUUGCCUGAAUAUGAUGGGUGUCCUGAAAAUAAACUGCCACUCCCUGCAUCACCACAAGGUGGAACUUCAGUGGGCAGAGCUGUGAGCAGAACAGCUGAUCGUCUACUUCAUAGGGAGGAAAAGGAGCUCUUAUCGAGGCAGCCCAUACCCGGAGCAGUGAGAGUGGCACCACCAGACUCGUUCCCCUGGACCACACGUGGCAUCUCAGCAUCUGUCCGCCAUAGUUGUGAGCACCUGUGCUUUACCUGGAUUCAUUCUGUGCAUUGCUUAGCCAGAUGGGUCCCAAGGGCACUGGACAUUGGAUUAAAGACCAGAGAAUGAAACAUUUUAAAACUGUCUCAUCUGAUUCCAAGCAAAACAUAAUCCUACGUAUUGAGGUUGUAGGUUUAGCUCGUUGAAUUUCAAGGAGCCGU